Thalassophryne amazonica is the source of this 221-nucleotide long non-coding RNA. RefSeq lists it as uncharacterized. Lineage: Eukaryota; Metazoa; Chordata; Actinopteri; Batrachoidiformes; Batrachoididae. The transcript is spliced from 3 exons. The record is from RefSeq and is a predicted model, not a curated record.
CUCAGGCCUGUUGUGAACUGGAAACUGCUGGAAUACCAGUGUCACUGUCCACAGUGAAGCAAUUUUUACAUCUCCAUGGACUGAGAGGGUGCUGAUAAAGAAAGAAGCCCCUGCUCCAAAAUCGACACCUUCAAGCUGGACUGAAAUUUGAAGCUGCCCACAUGGACAAGCCAAACGUCUUCUGGAGAAAGGUUUUAUGGUCAGAGGAUGUUAUAAUGGAG